GUUAACAUUAAACAACUGAAAAAAAAUCCACUUGGAAAAUGGUUAUGCCAAGGGAAAAAUAUUAAAUUCAUAAUAAAUUUUAAAAAUGUGAUACAAAAUGAAUUUUUAUGGUUUGUAAGAUUUAAGGUGCCUUUUCCCUUGUAAUAGAAGCUAUGUUUUUGCACAGAGGAGAAGUAUGGUAUUUUUUGAGAAGACAUGCUAUGAAUGAUGAAAGGCUCUAUUUCAGCAAGUCACAGGCAGAAAAGUCCAAAACAAUGGAAUAGAACUGCAGCAUUGUUGAAAGGUUUUACUCCCAUCACCCAGGUGGAGAGCAGCAGUGCAUUCAGGUGAACCUUGAUUUUUGUGGCAUGUAAAAUGGGGUUAAUAAAAGUACCACUAGCUAUGAGAAUUAGAUGAGU
RNAcentral lists this long non-coding RNA (398 nucleotides) under Piliocolobus tephrosceles (Ugandan red Colobus). Its description in RNAcentral is "lncRNA (ENSPTEG00000024122.1)". The record is from RNAcentral. Lineage: Eukaryota; Metazoa; Chordata; Mammalia; Primates; Cercopithecidae.